RNAcentral lists this ribosomal RNA (253 nucleotides) under uncultured bacterium. RNAcentral describes it as "partial 16S ribosomal RNA". It matches the Rfam family "Bacterial small subunit ribosomal RNA", at positions 524 to 776 of the family's 1533-position model. The record is from RNAcentral.
UACGUAGGGGGCUAGCGUUGUCCGGAAUCAUUGGGCGUAAAGCGCACGUAGGCGGCUUUCUAAGUCGGGGGUGAAAUCCUGGAGCUCAACUCCAGAACUGCCUUCGAUACUGGAGAGCUUGAGUCCGGGAGAGGUGAGUGGAACUGCGAGUGUAGAGGUGAAAUUCGUAGAUAUUCGCAAGAACACCAGUGGCGAAGGCGGCUCACUGGCCCGGUACUGACGCUGAGGUGCGAAAGCCAGGGGAGCAAACGGG